Molecule: ribosomal RNA, 399 nt
Filed under: Triticum aestivum (bread wheat)
Lineage: Eukaryota; Viridiplantae; Streptophyta; Magnoliopsida; Poales; Poaceae
Description: partial small subunit ribosomal RNA
Source: RNAcentral
AUGGCGAACUCCAAGGGCGCCAUGAGUGGUGGAGGCAGAGGCGUCCUCCUCCUCUGUAUGAGUUGCUGCUACUCGAUGCAGCAAUGGGGACGAACAUCUAGAGGAACUUGGCGCGGUGGGCGAACUGGGCUUGAGGAGGUCGAAUCAGGCCGGAUCCGGUUGCGACGUGGUGGAGCAGCAGCGAGGCCAAGCGAAGAAUGGCGUCGGGCGGCAAACGCCAAGGGCGGCGGCACGAACUGGUCGACUCAGCGCAUGGGGUCUUGUUCAAGGCGUCUUGCGGGAGCUCCUGGUGAAGAAAAGAGAAAGGGCGAUGAGAGAAUGAAAAGAACGGGGGAACACUGGGAAGGAGAAGAAGAAGGUGCGGCGGUGCUCAUCUUGAAUGGAGCUCAUCGACGGUGA